This 465-nucleotide ribosomal RNA is filed under the name Vreelandella stevensii. Its description in RNAcentral is "partial 16S ribosomal RNA". It matches the Rfam family "Bacterial small subunit ribosomal RNA", at positions 338 to 795 of the family's 1533-position model. Lineage: Bacteria; Pseudomonadati; Pseudomonadota; Gammaproteobacteria; Oceanospirillales; Halomonadaceae. The record is from RNAcentral.
CCUACGGGAGGCAGCAGUGGGGAAUAUUGGACAAUGGGGGGAACCCUGAUCCAGCCAUGCCGCGUGUGUGAAGAAGGCCCUCGGGUUGUAAAGCACUUUCAGUGAGGAAGAACGCCUGGUGGUUAAUACCCAUCAGGAAAGACAUCACUCACAGAAGAAGCACCGGCUAACUCCGUGCCAGCAGCCGCGGUAAUACGGAGGGUGCGAGCGUUAAUCGGAAUUACUGGGCGUAAAGCGCGCGUAGGUGGCUUGAUAAGCCGGUUGUGAAAGCCCCGGGCUCAACCUGGGAACGGCAUCCGGAACUGUCAAGCUAGAGUGCAGGAGAGGAAGGUAGGAUUCCCGGUGUAGCGGUGAAAUGCGUAGAGAUCGGGAGGAAUACCAGUGGCGAAGGCGGCCUUCUGGACUGACACUGACACUGAGGUGCGAAAGCGUGGGUAGCAAACAGGAUUAGAUACCCGAGUAGUC